ACACUUUACAACAAACGAUCACUUUUCAUCCAACAACAGCUCCACUAAUAACAACAUUUGCUCAAGCAGUGGUUAGGAUGCGGGGUGUCACUAAAGGAAGUAAUGAUGAAAUCAUCAUCUAUAUAGAGAAGUUUUCCCAACUCAUCCAGGCUGAGGUUAAUGGAGCCUUUAAGAUUACAGU
Molecule: long non-coding RNA, 181 nt
Organism: Tachysurus vachellii
Lineage: Eukaryota; Metazoa; Chordata; Actinopteri; Siluriformes; Bagridae
Exons: 3
Source: RefSeq, a predicted model, not a curated record